GGUUCGAUCUGGCUCAGAUUGAACGCUGGCGGGAUACUUUACACAUGCAAGUCGAACGGCAGCACGGACUUCGGUCUGGUGGCGAGUGGCGAACGGGUGAGUAAUGUAUCGGAACGUGCCUAGUAGCGGGGGAUAACUACCACGCGAAAGCGUAGCUAAUACCACGCUUCGCCCUUCGGGAAAGCGGGGACCUUCGGGCCUCGCACUAUUAGAGCGGCCGAUAUCGGAUUAGCUAGUUGGUGGGGUAACGGCUCACCAAGGCGACGAUCCGUAGCUGGUUGCGAAGGACGACCAGCCACACUGGGACUGAGACACGGCCCAGACUCCUACGGGAGGCAGCAGUGAAAUUUUGGACAAUGGAAACCCACAGUCCAGCCAUCCCGCGUGUGCGAUGAGCCUUCGGGUGUAAAGCACUUUUGGCAGGAAAGAAACGGCACGGGAUAAUACCCCGUGCAACUGACGGUACACCUGCAGAAUAAGCACCGGCUAACUACGUGCCAGCAGCCGCGGUAAUACGUAGGGUGCAAGCGUUAAUCGGAAUUACUGGGCGUAAAAGCGUGCGCAGACGGUUCGGAAAGAAAGAUGUGAAAUCCCAGAGCUUAACUUUGGAACUGCAUUUUUUAACUACCGAGCUAGAGUGUGUCAGAGGGAGGUGGAAUUCCGCGUGUAGCAGUGAAAUGCGUAGAUAUGCGGAGGAACACACCGAUGGCGAAGGCAGCCUCCUGGGAUAACACUGACGCUCAUGCACGAAAGCGUGGGAGCAAACAGGAUUAGAUACCCUGGUAGUCCCACGCGCCCCUGACGAUAUCAACUAGCUGUUCAGGGCCUUCGGGCCUUGGUAGCGCAGCUAACGCGCGUGAAGUUGACCGCCUGGGAAGUACGGUCGCAAGAUUAAAACUCAAAGGAAUUGACGGGGACCCGCACAAGCGGUGGAUGAUGUGGAUUAAUUCGAUGCAACGCGAAAAACCUUACCUACCCUUGACAUGUCUGGAAUCCCGAAGAGAUUUACGGGAGUGCUCGCAAGAGAACCGGAACACAGGUGCUGCAUGGCUGUCGUCGGCUCGUGUCGUGAGAUGUUGGGUUAAGUCCCGCAACGAGCGCAACCCUUGUCAUUAGUUGCUACGAAAGGGCACUCCUAAUGAGGCUGCCCGACGUCAAACCGGAGGAAGAAGACGGGGAUGACGUCAAGUCCUCAUGGCCCUUAUGGGUGAGGGCUUCACACGUCAUACAAUGGUCGGGACAGAGGGUCGCCAACCCGCGAAGGGGAGCCAAUCAGAAACCCGAUCGUAGUCCGGAUCGCAGUCUGCAACUCGACUGCGUGAAGUCGAAUCGCUAGUAAUCGCGGAUCCAGCAUGUCGCGGUGAACGUUCCCGGGUCUUGUACACACCGCCCGUCACACCAUGGGAGUGGGUUUUUUACCAAGUAGUUAGCCUAACCGUAAGGAGGGCGAUUACCACGGUAGGAUUCGCAAACUGGGGUGAAGUCGUAACAAGGUAA
RNAcentral lists this ribosomal RNA (1497 nucleotides) under uncultured Bordetella sp. Its description in RNAcentral is "partial 16S-23S ribosomal RNA intergenic spacer". It matches the Rfam family "Bacterial small subunit ribosomal RNA". The record is from RNAcentral. Lineage: Bacteria; Pseudomonadati; Pseudomonadota; Betaproteobacteria; Burkholderiales; Alcaligenaceae.